Molecule: ribosomal RNA, 484 nt
Filed under: uncultured bacterium
Lineage: Bacteria
Description: partial 16S ribosomal RNA
Rfam family: Bacterial small subunit ribosomal RNA
Source: RNAcentral
AUUGAACGCUGGCGGCAGGCCUAACACAUGCAAGUCGAGCGGAUGAAGGGAGCUUGCUCCUGGAUUCAGCGGCGGACGGGUGAGUAAUGCCUAGGAAUCUGCCUGGUAGUGGGGGAUAACGUCCGGAAACGGGCGCUAAUACCGCAUACGUCCUGAGGGAGAAAGUGGGGGAUCUUCGGACCUCACGCUAUCAGAUGAGCCUAGGUCGGAUUAGCUAGUUGGUGGGGUAAAGGCCUACCAAGGCGACGAUCCGUAACUGGUCUGAGAGGAUGAUCAGUCACACUGGAACUGAGACACGGUCCAGACUCCUACGAAAGGCAGCAGUGGGGAAUAUUGGACAAUGGGCGAAAGCCUGAUCCAGCCAUGCCGCGUGUGUGAAGAAGGUCUUCGGAUUGUAAAGCACUUUAAGUUGGGAGGAAGGGCAGUAAGUUAAUACCUUGCUGUUUUGACGUUACCAACAGAAUAAGCACCGGCUAACUUCGUG